Molecule: long non-coding RNA, 510 nt
Organism: Homo sapiens (human)
Lineage: Eukaryota; Metazoa; Chordata; Mammalia; Primates; Hominidae
Source: Ensembl
GCUGCUCUGUGCAGUUACGAUGCUGCACUGCCACAGUAACCUUCUCCCUCUGUGGUGAUCCAAUAUUCUACCAUAUGUCAGCAAAACUAUUCCAGCCCGGCCCUUUCAACUCUCCCGAAUCUAAGCCAACAGUCAAGGUACUAUGAAGACGUCAGGCGUAUGGAAAUAACAGAUGGGAAAGGCGAGCAGAGAUCAUUACUCUGAACUGUCUUGGAUGUCCCUGGGCAAUGCUAAGCUAACAUUCAGCAGUGUCUACAAGAUGACACACAACAUGUUGAAAGAAUGGAGCGGUGAUUCCCUUGGAAGGAUGUGAAAAGCUUUCCAAUCUCGAGGUGAUAUCAGAGCUCUUUCCCAUUGAAACACUUGGAUGCUCUUUCUCCAGCUAUCAUGCUCUCUUUUUUCCACUCAAGAAAAGAAGAGAAUGCAGGUUCCCACAGAUACUGCAAGCCCCCUCAAGCUUAGGCAGUGGCCCUAACUUAGAUCUCUCUUCCUUCUAGAUCAACACAGCUG